RNAcentral lists this long non-coding RNA (834 nucleotides) under Coffea arabica (coffee). Its description in RNAcentral is "long non-coding RNA (CARA_LNC002636)". Lineage: Eukaryota; Viridiplantae; Streptophyta; Magnoliopsida; Gentianales; Rubiaceae. The record is from RNAcentral.
UGAAUUGAGCUCAAUUUCAUUAAUGAAUCUGAAACAAAUUACAAGAAUAGAGGUAAUGAAUUUAGCUAAGAAGGUGUAAGAUCUAAAGGAAAAUUUGGGAGGGAAAUUAUGAGGAUUGUUUCUCACGCUUUUACAACUAAUCUGGACAGAAAAUGAUUCAAAAGCUGAGCUCGAUUAAGCAGACAGGCCUGCUUAUAUAGUUAUUAGCUUCUAACAGACUUCUAACAGCACCUAAUAAGGAUCAAACACGUGUCCCAAUUGCAGCUGCAAGUUGCUGCAAGUUGCCGCGCUUCUUGGCUUUCUGUUAAAACAGAUAAAACCCAGCAAAGACGUGGUUUAGCUUAUGCGCCUUUGUUGAAGUGCUUCCUCUUGAUCACGCCUUCCGUUACUGGAUUCCACACCUUCUCCCUUCCUUCUUCCUAACAUGUAUCUUCUACUUUAGUCCAACUCCUGCAUUUCAUUACACCAUCCUCUGGAUUCCAUGCAUUUUUUCCCCUUAGCCUCGGGGAGGAACAACCUCCUGCAAAUCCUACCCUUUGCAAGGCUAUAAAAUUCUCUAUCGUCACCAUCUUUAUUUUCUGCAAGCAUAAUCCAGGGAGGUCCUCGCUAGCCGCCGCCCUCCACGAGUUGCAAACACCGCGGAACGCAAGAAAGUCUUCUAAAAGAUCUACACACUUGCUUAUUUGAGUCAACAAUUAUGGCAAAAGCUGUGACCAAUCUGCCAUGAUUUAUUCCAGUAUAGUAUACACCAGAAAACAAAAACUCCAACAAAUAACUAAGCUAAAUAAAUUAAUACAAAUCUGGCUGCUGACUAAAUAACAGAUCUACGCUUAC